AGAAUCAACGCUGGCGGCGUGCCUAACACAUGCAAGUCGAACGAGAAAGUGGAGCAAUCCAUGAGUAAAGUGGCGACCGGGUGAGUAACACGUGACUAACCUACCUUCGAGUGGGGGAUAACCUCGGGAAACCGAGGCUAAUACCGCAUAACAUCGCAAGAUCAAAGCAGCAAUGCGCUGGAAGAGGGGGUCGCGGCUGAUUAGCUAGUUGGCGGGGUAAUGGCCCACCAAGGUGAAGAUCGGUA
This 245-nucleotide ribosomal RNA is filed under the name uncultured bacterium. RNAcentral's name for it is "partial small subunit ribosomal RNA". It matches the Rfam family "Bacterial small subunit ribosomal RNA", at positions 26 to 285 of the family's 1533-position model. The record is from RNAcentral.